This is a long non-coding RNA of Oreochromis aureus, 558 nucleotides long. NCBI's taxonomy places the organism in Eukaryota, Metazoa, Chordata, Actinopteri, Cichliformes, Cichlidae. The record is from Ensembl.
CAGCAACUGAGGGCUUCUACAGAGCACUGGCACAGCAGGCUCAGGUGUUGCCAGUGUCAGUGAUUGGAAACAAGCCACACCAGCUCUCCCUGCAGAUGAGACCUGCCACACAAACAGGCCAAAAAGAAGGAAGUGAGAUAUAUCCCCCACGGUGGACUGCCACAGACACACUGAUCGGGGAGCGUGCCAUGUCAGUGGAGUGAGAGGGACUUAUGGAAGGUGCUGCAUUGAGUUCUUCAUAUUUGAAGGUCAGUGGCAGCCUGACAUGUACUCAGAGGGGAGAGAGGACCCAGUUGAAACAGAUGGGAAGUGCUGAUUCGUGUACAGAAGAAGAGAAAGUCAAUCAAUUUGAAAUGGGAGUCCAGAAAUGGACAUGGCAAGCCAGCGUAAUCAAAUCUAAAGCUUAUGGCAAAGAGAAAUGUUCCCGGAAUUUAAUUGAGAUCAAUGUGAUUAUUCUUGCUGGGAAUUAAAUCUCAUUGUUACGCUUUUACUCUAGAUGUAGGUUGGUAGCUUAGUUAAAAUUUUGUACAUCUACCUCCUAUCCCAGACUUUAUGUCC